GAAUAUUUAUAUAAGACGAGAAGACCCUAUGGAGCUUUAAAUAAUUGCAACAUGUAUUUUUAUUAUUUAACUUUAUGAAAAACCUAUAUCUAAACACUUUGAUUGCUAAUUUUUGGUUGGGGUGACCGCGGAGCAUAAAAUAACCUCCAUAAUGAAAGAAAUUAUUUUUCUAAACCCUAGAGCUACAACUCAAUGUAUUAUUAAAUUAACAUCCUUUGAUCCAAUAUAUUGAUCAACGAACAAAGUUACCCUAGGGAUAACAGCGCAAUCUACUUCAAGAGCUCCUAUCGACAAGUAGGUUUACGACCUCGAUGUUGGAUCAGGGUAUCCUAGUGGUGCAGCCGCU
RNAcentral lists this ribosomal RNA (346 nucleotides) under Engystomops pustulosus (Tungara frog). RNAcentral's name for it is "partial 16S ribosomal RNA". It matches the Rfam family "Bacterial large subunit ribosomal RNA", at positions 2079 to 2563 of the family's 2925-position model. The record is from RNAcentral. Lineage: Eukaryota; Metazoa; Chordata; Amphibia; Anura; Leptodactylidae.